RNAcentral lists this ribosomal RNA (467 nucleotides) under uncultured bacterium. RNAcentral describes it as "bacterial SSU rRNA". It matches the Rfam family "Bacterial small subunit ribosomal RNA", at positions 28 to 507 of the family's 1533-position model. The record is from RNAcentral.
GACGAACGCUGGCGGCGUGCUUAACACAUGCAAGUCGAACGGUAAGGCCCCUUCGGGGGUACACGAGUGGCGAACGGGUGAGUAACACGUGGGUAAUCUGCCCUGCACUUCGGGAUAAGCCUGGGAAACUGGGUCUAAUACCGGAUAUGAGCUCCUGCCGCAUGGUGGGGGUUGGAAAGUUUUUCGGUGCAGGAUGAGCCCGCGGCCUAUCAGCUUGUUGGUGGGGUAAUGGCCUACCAAGGCGACGACGGGUAGCCGGCCUGAGAGGGUGAUCGGCCACACUGGGACUGAGACACGGCCCAGACUCCUUACGGGAGGCAGCAGUGGGGAAUAUUGCACAAUGGGCGAAAGCCUGAUGCAGCGACGCCGCGUGGGGGAGUGACGGUCUUCGGAUUGUAAACCCCUUUCCUAGUAGGGACGAAGCGCAAGUGACGGUACCUGCAGAAGAAGCACCGGCCAACUACGUG